This 536-nucleotide long non-coding RNA is filed under the name Sorghum bicolor (sorghum). RNAcentral describes it as "long non-coding RNA (SBIC_LNC011737)". Lineage: Eukaryota; Viridiplantae; Streptophyta; Magnoliopsida; Poales; Poaceae. The record is from RNAcentral.
CCAAAGCGAGAUGCGGUGAUAGUGAUCGGCGACGCUUUCCAUGGGUGCAGUGCCAUCAAUAAUGGCAAAUCUCACAAGUAUAGGUAAGUAGUUUAACCAUGCAUCAUUUUUAAUAGAGAAAACAGAGUUGAGCUUCAUCUCUUAUGGCUUAGAGAACCAGACCAAUCAUUAUAACAAGUGUUGUUGGCUAAACUUGUGUUCACCGACAUGGAGAAGACUGGAGUGCAGCUGGUUAAGCAGGAGCUUUAGUGGAUUUCAAAUGAAGGCGUUGGCGGGAGCAGUUGGAGUGAAGCGUUGGAGUGGGGUGACCACGGGCCACGACGUCGCAUCGUGUCUGCAGUUGUUUUUAGCCAACUUGUAUCUUGUGUUUAAGACUUCCUAUGUGUGUAAUAGGUGUAAUAAGCUAUUGGUAUAAAUAGCUGGAUGUAAGUAGAGCGCGCUAGCGCUUCAGACACUAUCUGUAAUCGUGUGAUACUCUGUUCGUGCUUAGUGAAAUAGGGCACUGUCUCCCUUGUGACAGUUGCCGUUUUGGGGCC